This 253-nucleotide ribosomal RNA is filed under the name uncultured bacterium. RNAcentral's name for it is "partial 16S ribosomal RNA". It matches the Rfam family "Bacterial small subunit ribosomal RNA", at positions 524 to 776 of the family's 1533-position model. The record is from RNAcentral.
UACAGAGGGUGCGAGCGUUAAUCGGAAUCACUGGGCGUAAAGGGUGCGUAGGUGGUAAAAUAAGUGUGAUGUGAAAUCCCUGGGCUUAACCUGGGAAUGGCAUCGCAAACUGUGUUACUAGAGUACAGGAGAGGUAAGUGGAAUUUCCGGUGUAGCAGUGAAAUGCGUAGAGAUCGGAAGGAACACCAGAGGCGAAGGCGGCUUACUGGCCUGCUACUGACGCUGAGGCACGAAAGCGUGGGGAGCAAACAGG